UGCCCAAUGCGGGAUUCGAUCCCGGGUCGUAGCGGUCGAAAACCCACGGUUCAGACCACCCUAAAACCGACCAGUUUAUAAACUAAAUGGCU
Non-coding RNA from Cordylochernes scorpioides, 92 nucleotides. Lineage: Eukaryota; Metazoa; Arthropoda; Arachnida; Pseudoscorpiones; Chernetidae. The record is from the annotation of a GenBank genome assembly.